This is a long non-coding RNA of Triticum aestivum (bread wheat), 2514 nucleotides long. RefSeq lists it as uncharacterized. The record is from RefSeq and is a predicted model, not a curated record. Lineage: Eukaryota; Viridiplantae; Streptophyta; Magnoliopsida; Poales; Poaceae. The transcript is spliced from 6 exons.
CGUACGCCUCCUUCCUGAAUAAUCUCACGUAUUUGCAAAGGAGAAAACUCCUCCACUCCGCCGAAAAAACAAAUCCUCUGCAGCUUCACGGAACUUCACAUCGCCGCCCUGAACGCCGGCAUAUCAUCUAGCGAUGCUCACUGCUGAUCUUCCUCCCUCCAUCUGACGGCGUUCCUUCUACAUGAUUUUAUCACAAGAUGCAAGGUGGUCACCUCUAGCCGAUCUCUCUCUGGCAGCCAAUAUGAUGGGGAUGACCGAGUUUGAUCCUGUAGCAAUGCAUGAGCCCGUACUGAUUGAUUGAUGUUGUGCAGAUGCAUGGCAGCCGCCUGUCGCUGUGCGCCUUCACAAGCAGCGGCCAUUAUCUUUGCAAACCUAACGUCUCCUGUAGCGUUGUACGUACUGAUGUGGUCGGCCAGCCGGCCGGCCUGGACGCCUGAACUCGGAUUGAUCGAAUAGAGUUUCGAGUAUUAUCGGGUAAGCAAUGCGCCUCUCCUCUGCCCGGUCAUAUCCAGGAGAUUCUCCACCACUGAUGAUUGAUGGCAUCACUAAUAAACUUGCAUAUACAGUAUAGAUGGAGCCUUAUAGGGGCAUUGGUCAUCCGGUGAUUGAUUCUGCGCGCUUGGUCUCAUCUCAUCCUGGUGGCAUGAAGGAGAUGAUGUGGGGCCAUGGGUCUUGGUAUUUUCUUCCUUCAAUAAUUGCAUCGGCGCAUGUGAUUCCUCCAUGGAGGCUUAACCUGUUCUUGUGAUGAAGGAUUGGGAUGUGACUGAGUUGUCAUCGUGAUGCAACGGAGGGUUAAGACAAGUGAUGACGAGGAAAGGCGGAGGCUUGAUAUAGAUGCUACAGCUGUUGUGGCGGUGGUUGAAGCUUGCGAUUUGGAUGGUAGAAUUAUGUUAUGUUUACAAGGCCAGCAGUAUGGACUGAACUGGGAGAAGGAAGCAAUUAAUAAUUUAAUUGAGAAGGCAUAUGUGAAGCUGCAGUAUAUGAGCUAAUGUUUAGGAUCAACCUUCUUCUAAGGUCCAGUUCAGAAGAAGAAAAACAGCCUUCCAAGGUGUUACAUAUACUGUUAUCUAUGCAAUCCAAAUUGGGAUUCUCAUCUGGGUAAGCACAAAAAGCUGAACGUUUGGUAUUUUCUGGGUUAUAAUAUAUAUUUUCAUAAUGCAUAGAGAUCAUAGGAAAUAGUAUUUGAGAUAAGUUAACAACCCGUUAUGAGUUUACUAAUACUAUCUCACGCACAUCUGCCGAAUAUCCGUCACAAAUAUUUUUUGUGUUUUGAUGUGCACAUGACUAUAUAUACCUUCAAUAUAUUGGGCUAAUUCGUGAUAUGGAAUCUCCAAAAAGAAUGUGGUAUGAAGAUCACAAAAAUGUACAGACGUUUUUAUUUUAUAUUUUUUAUCUCAUACGUGAUAUGCACCAUAUAACAUCAUUUUUUCUGCUUCUAUUGUUAUAGUAUUAAUUGAAGCUGAAGAACAAUGAUCCCUGUCGUGUGAGUGGUCUUGCAAGAUGUGAAAAACAGUCUAAAUUUUGUACUAUUUCCCAUUUCAUGCUAGAGUCAAACAAUUCAAUCAAGUUUGAAUAUUUUUAAAUAGGUCCCUUAGGCAACUGCUUUUCUUAUGUACUGUGUUACGUGUCAGUUUUUAUAGAAAAGAGUAGUUGGCCGUUUGGCAUAUAAAUGAAGCAGUAUUCAUGAAAGCUACUCCCUCCGUUCCAAAAUAGAUGAUCCAAUUUUAUACUACUAAAGUUAGUACAAAGUUGAUAUAUCGAUUGAAAACAUGAAGUGACGGUGCAGAUAUCUUUGAUGCAAUCUAUUAUCAUUUCUUCUUCGUGGACCAAGGAAAACCACCGAUUAUAUUGUGUAGUAGCUUUUAAUUUGGUAUAAUAAAAUACUAUAUGCAUGUAUACUUCGGUUUCCGGGUUCAUGUGCAUGCAUUAACUAAUUAUUCUAUUUGUCGGGUAUGCUGCAAGUGUUAUCACAAAAAAAAAAGGUAUGUAAUGCGACCAAAUAAGGAAAGAAACCGACCAAUUGUCUCUGGGUGUUCUCUCAAAAAUUUUACAAUCCUGUAGAUUUUUUAUAUGUACAUGUCAAACAAAAAAAGUGAACUCAGACGAGAGGCCGCACAGGUCCAUCGUGUUUAAAUCUAUCAAACAAUGAAAAUAAAGCUUGCCUAAGUAAGGAAUACAACUUUAGUUUUAAUCAAAGAAACAAAUUCCAUAUUGGCAUUUCAAAAAGCAUGACAACCUUCACAAGAUGAAUGAUAAUGCUGCAAACAAGACACAUCAGAAUUCAAUAGCAUACAUAUGGAAGUGUAUGGAAAAUAUUUAAAAAAAAUAACUUAAUUUUUUAAAUCUAAAAAAUAUUUUCCAUUGAAAAAUUGCUAAUGAUUUUUCAUUUGCCACAAGUGCUAGCCCGUGCAGUUGCACGGGUUGAUGACUAGUGAGUUAAUAAUGAGAGAGGUAGUUUGAGUAACUUAGCUAGUUACUGUAACAUCACAUGUUUCAAUGUAAUAUGAGACUAUA